This 231-nucleotide long non-coding RNA is filed under the name Mytilus galloprovincialis (Mediterranean mussel). The record is from RNAcentral. Lineage: Eukaryota; Metazoa; Mollusca; Bivalvia; Mytilida; Mytilidae.
GGCUGUGUAAUAUGCCAUCUAAAUAUUUGCCGAAAAACGUCCUUAUGUCAAGACUUUUGGUGUUUUACCACAAAUGUACUGAAAAUAACUUUGGCUUUGUGAAUGAUGUCAUCCAGAUUAUGCAGAAAUACGAUUUAGUAGGCCAUAUUGAAAAACUAAUAUCGACAAGUUACUUUCCUAAGCAGAAGCAAUGGAAAUCGAUAGUUAAAAAACGCGUAUAUGAGUAUGAAG